This 2891-nucleotide ribosomal RNA is filed under the name Klebsiella pneumoniae. Its description in RNAcentral is "bacterial LSU rRNA". It matches the Rfam family "Bacterial large subunit ribosomal RNA". The record is from RNAcentral. Lineage: Bacteria; Pseudomonadati; Pseudomonadota; Gammaproteobacteria; Enterobacterales; Enterobacteriaceae.
ACUAAGCGUACACGGUGGAUGCCCUGGCAGUCAGAGGCGAUGAAGGACGUGCUAAUCUGCGAAAAGCGUCGGUAAGGUGAUAUGAACCGUUAUAACCGGCGAUGUCCGAAUGGGGAAACCCAGUGUGAUUCGUCACACUAUCGUUAACUGAAUACAUAGGUUAACGAGGCGAACCGGGGGAACUGAAACAUCUAAGUACCCCGAGGAAAAGAAAUCAACCGAGAUUCCCCCAGUAGCGGCGAGCGAACGGGGAGCAGCCCAGAGUCUGAAUCAGCUUGUGUGUUAGUGGAACGGUCUGGAAAGUCCGACGGUACAGGGUGAUAGUCCCGUACACCAAAAUGCACAGGCUGUGAACUCGAAGAGUAGGGCGGGACACGUGGUAUCCUGUCUGAAUAUGGGGGGACCAUCCUCCAAGGCUAAAUACUCCUGACUGACCGAUAGUGAACCAGUACCGUGAGGGAAAGGCGAAAAGAACCCCGGCGAGGGGAGUGAAAAAGAACCUGAAACCGUGUACGUACAAGCAGUGGGAGCACCUUCGGGUGUGACUGCGUACCUUUUGUAUAAUGGGUCAGCGACUUAUAUUCUGUAGCAAGGUUAACCGUAUAGGGGAGCCGCAGGGAAACCGAGUCUUAACUGGGCGUUAAGUUGCAGGGUAUAGACCCGAAACCCGGUGAUCUAGCCAUGGGCAGGUUGAAGGUUGGGUAACACUAACUGGAGGACCGAACCGACUAAUGUUGAAAAAUUAGCGGAUGACUUGUGGCUGGGGGUGAAAGGCCAAUCAAACCGGGAGAUAGCUGGUUCUCCCCGAAAGCUAUUUAGGUAGCGCCUCGUGAACUCAUCUUCGGGGGUAGAGCACUGUUUCGGCUAGGGGGUCAUCCCGACUUACCAACCCGAUGCAAACUACGAAUACCGAAGAAUGUUAUCACGGGAGACACACGGCGGGUGCUAACGUCCGUCGUGAAGAGGGAAACAACCCAGACCGCCAGCUAAGGUCCCAAAGUCAUGGUUAAGUGGGAAACGAUGUGGGAAGGCACAGACAGCCAGGAUGUUGGCUUAGAAGCAGCCAUCAUUUAAAGAAAGCGUAAUAGCUCACUGGUCGAGUCGGCCUGCGCGGAAGAUGUAACGGGGCUAAACCAUGCACCGAAGCUGCGGCAGCGACACUAUGUGUUGUUGGGUAGGGGAGCGUUCUGUAAGCCUGCGAAGGUGACCUGUGAGGGUUGCUGGAGGUAUCAGAAGUGCGAAUGCUGACAUAAGUAACGAUAAAGCGGGUGAAAAGCCCGCUCGCCGGAAGACCAAGGGUUCCUGUCCAACGUUAAUCGGGGCAGGGUGAGUCGACCCCUAAGGCGAGGCCGAAAGGCGUAGUCGAUGGGAAACAGGUUAAUAUUCCUGUACUUGGUGUUACUGCGAAGGGGGGACGGAGAAGGCUAUGUUAGCCGGGCGACGGUUGUCCCGGUUUAAGCAUGUAGGCUGGUUAUCCAGGCAAAUCCGGAUAAUCAAGGCUGAGGUGUGAUGACGAGGCACUACGGUGCUGAAGUAACAAAUGCCCUGCUUCCAGGAAAAGCCUCUAAGCAUCAGGUAACAUCAAAUCGUACCCCAAACCGACACAGGUGGUCAGGUAGAGAAUACCAAGGCGCUUGAGAGAACUCGGGUGAAGGAACUAGGCAAAAUGGUGCCGUAACUUCGGGAGAAGGCACGCUGGUGUGUAGGUGAAGCCCCUGCGGGUGGAGCUGAGACCAGUCGAAGAUACCAGCUGGCUGCAACUGUUUAUUAAAAACACAGCACUGUGCAAACACGAAAGUGGACGUAUACGGUGUGACGCCUGCCCGGUGCCGGAAGGUUAAUUGAUGGGGUUAUCCGUAAGGAGAAGCUCUUGAUCGAAGCCCCGGUAAACGGCGGCCGUAACUAUAACGGUCCUAAGGUAGCGAAAUUCCUUGUCGGGUAAGUUCCGACCUGCACGAAUGGCGUAAUGAUGGCCAGGCUGUCUCCACCCGAGACUCAGUGAAAUUGAACUCGCUGUGAAGAUGCAGUGUACCCGCGGCAAGACGGAAAGACCCCGUGAACCUUUACUAUAGCUUGACACUGAACAUUGAGCCUUGAUGUGUAGGAUAGGUGGGAGGCUUUGAAGCGUGGACGCCAGUCUGCGUGGAGCCAACCUUGAAAUACCACCCUUUAAUGUUUGAUGUUCUAACGUUGGCCCCUGACCGGGGUUGCGGACAGUGUCUGGUGGGUAGUUUGACUGGGGCGGUCUCCUCCCAAAGCGUAACGGAGGAGCACGAAGGUUAGCUAAUCCUGGUCGGACAUCAGGAGGUUAGUGCAAUGGCAUAAGCUAGCUUGACUGCGAGCGUGACGGCGCGAGCAGGUGCGAAAGCAGGUCAUAGUGAUCCGGUGGUUCUGAAUGGAAGGGCCAUCGCUCAACGGAUAAAAGGUACUCCGGGGAUAACAGGCUGAUACCGCCCAAGAGUUCAUAUCGACGGCGGUGUUUGGCACCUCGAUGUCGGCUCAUCACAUCCUGGGGCUGAAGUAGGUCCCAAGGGUAUGGCUGUUCGCCAUUUAAAGUGGUACGCGAGCUGGGUUUAGAACGUCGUGAGACAGUUCGGUCCCUAUCUGCCGUGGGCGCUGGAGAAUUGAGGGGGGCUGCUCCUAGUACGAGAGGACCGGAGUGGACGCAUCACUGGUGUUCGGGUUGUCAUGCCAAUGGCACUGCCCGGUAGCUAAAUGCGGAAGAGAUAAGUGCUGAAAGCAUCUAAGCACGAAACUUGCCCCGAGAUGAGUUCUCCCUGAGACUUUAAGUCUCCUGAAGGAACGUUGAAGACGACGACGUUGAUAGGCCGGGUGUGUAAGCGCAGCGAUGCGUUGAGCUAACCGGUACUAAUGAACCGUGAGGCUUAACC